Molecule: long non-coding RNA, 178 nt
Organism: Schistocerca serialis cubense
Lineage: Eukaryota; Metazoa; Arthropoda; Insecta; Orthoptera; Acrididae
Exons: 3
Source: RefSeq, a predicted model, not a curated record
CUGUGGACGGAGCAUGAAGGCGCGCAGUGCAGGAGCGCCGAUGACCUUCUGCUCUCCAAGGUCCAGGUGGCUCCGGGCCCGCUGUCCGCGUCUGCCACCAAGUGCUCCUCGGCGCCGCUGCUCGCUGGCUCCCAGAAUUCAACGCUGAAGAAGUCGCGGCACGAGAGGCAUAUCCCAG